UAAUAAGUGUUUUAUGGCACUUUUUAAAUCCAUAUCCACCUUGUGUGCAAUGUCAGUCGAUCUUCUUCAUGGAGAUCGACCAAACAUCAACCUUUAUCUUUUAACUCUUUGUCUGAAGAAUAUUAUGAAUAAACAAUUCAAAAUA
This 145-nucleotide unclassified non-coding RNA is filed under the name soil metagenome. RNAcentral describes it as "partial internal transcribed spacer 1". The record is from RNAcentral.